RNAcentral lists this ribosomal RNA (441 nucleotides) under uncultured Acinetobacter sp. RNAcentral's name for it is "bacterial SSU rRNA". It matches the Rfam family "Bacterial small subunit ribosomal RNA", at positions 358 to 790 of the family's 1533-position model. The record is from RNAcentral. Lineage: Bacteria; Pseudomonadati; Pseudomonadota; Gammaproteobacteria; Moraxellales; Moraxellaceae.
GGAAUAUUGGACAAUGGGGGGAACCCUGAUCCAGCCAUGCCGCGUGUGUGAAGAAGGCCUUUUGGUUGUAAAGCACUUUAAGCGAGGAGGAGGCUACUCUAGUUAAUACCUAGGGAUAGUGGACGUUACUCGCAGAAUAAGCACCGGCUAACUCUGUGCCAGCAGCCGCGGUAAUACAGAGGGUGCGAGCGUUAAUCGGAUUUACUGGGCGUAAAGCGUGCGUAGGUGGCCAAUUAAGUCAAAUGUGAAAUCCCCGAGCUUAACUUGGGAAUUGCAUUCGAUACUGGUUGGCUAGAGUAUGGGAGAGGAUGGUAGAAUUCCAGGUGUAGCGGUGAAAUGCGUAGAGAUCUGGAGGAAUACCGAUGGCGAAGGCAGCCAUCUGGCCUAAUACUGACACUGAGGUACGAAAGCAUGGGGAGCAAACAGGAUUAGAUACCCGAG